AACCCCGUGGCUCAGUGGUUAGAGUGUUGGACUUCUGAUCAAAAGGCUGCGGGGUCG
RNAcentral lists this transfer RNA (57 nucleotides) under Schistocephalus solidus. It matches the Rfam family "tRNA". Rfam says of the family: Transfer RNA (tRNA) molecules are approximately 80 nucleotides in length. Their secondary structure includes four short double-helical elements and three loops (D, anti-codon, and T loops). Further hydrogen bonds mediate the characteristic L-shaped molecular structure. tRNAs have two regions of fundamental functional importance: the anti-codon, which is responsible for specific mRNA codon recognition, and the 3' end, to which the tRNAs corresponding amino acid is attached (by aminoacyl-tRNA synthetases). tRNAs cope with the degeneracy of the genetic code in two manners: having more than one tRNA (with a specific anti-codon) for a particular amino acid; and 'wobble' base-pairing, i.e. permitting non-standard base-pairing at the 3rd anti-codon position. The record is from Rfam by way of RNAcentral. Lineage: Eukaryota; Metazoa; Platyhelminthes; Cestoda; Diphyllobothriidea; Diphyllobothriidae.